CUUGAUACAUUUUAGUUGCACCUGGAUGGAUGCUCAAUCCACUCCUAUGGCCCUCUUCAAGAAUACUCUUUUUCAAUUCAGACACCUCAGGAACACAAACUCUACCUUUAAAUCGCAGGAUGCCAUUCUCAUCAAUCUCAAAAAUACCACCAUUACCCUGGUUAACCAUAGUAAUAUGAUCGACUAGAGCGACAUCAACUUGCUGACCA
RNAcentral lists this long non-coding RNA (209 nucleotides) under Lathyrus oleraceus (garden pea). RNAcentral describes it as "Pisum sativum (pea) long non-coding RNA (PSAT_LNC023489)". The record is from RNAcentral. Lineage: Eukaryota; Viridiplantae; Streptophyta; Magnoliopsida; Fabales; Fabaceae.